CCAGUUGAUGUGCACGUUGCAAGAGGAAGCCCGAACGACAAAGGGAGAUAAGGGAGUGACAGCCGCGGGCCCAAUACAUCUGCAUCACAAUCUAUCAAAAUGCCCCACAUUUACAAGAAAUGACCAAGUCUGUGGUGGUUUGUGGUUCUUUUGCUUCUCCAUUUUCAUCAGAAUGGAUAAAGGCAGCUUGUGUCAUUGUUUUUCAGGUUAUAACAUAUACGAGGGCAGCAAGUGAGGACGACAGAAGAGAAGUCACGGACAACACUGAAUGGCGAGUCUGCUUUUGCCACACCCAACAGGUGCUAGGCAAGCAUUCUUCAGGCCGAGCAGCAGGACCAAAAGCGCUGACGGUUGCACCAACACAAAACGGAGCCUCGGCAAGUCGCUCUGACAAUUACUUCACAUCAUUCUGAUUAUGAGCCACCAGCAUGCAAUCGGCGGCACAGAGGAUCGUAAAUGAUCAGUAUUUGACUUCAGCUAUCAAAGCAUGGCAGAGGGCGCAUACUUUCAUCUGACCCCAAUGCAACGUUAAUGACCCAAACACUAAGAACGUGCAGGAACAACCAUAGCACAAGGGCAGGGCCCUUGCUGGGGGCUGUGGGUUAUCACAGAUGCACUUCAUUUCGUUCAACUUUUCCAUCUACUACCUCAGAGUAGAGAAAUAUGUGUUUCUCAUCUGAUACAUUUAUCCACAGUCUAAUUCAACUGAAAGACUUAAGUAAGCAUACAAAUUCCCCAGACUUAGUAUCGCAUGUUGUACAGACCUCUA
Molecule: non-coding RNA, 769 nt
Organism: Sus scrofa (pig)
Lineage: Eukaryota; Metazoa; Chordata; Mammalia; Artiodactyla; Suidae
Source: RefSeq, a predicted model, not a curated record